Molecule: long non-coding RNA, 645 nt
Filed under: Chlamydomonas reinhardtii
Lineage: Eukaryota; Viridiplantae; Chlorophyta; Chlorophyceae; Chlamydomonadales; Chlamydomonadaceae
Description: long non-coding RNA (CREI_LNC000060)
Source: RNAcentral
UGAUCAAGGCCAAGAAGACCGACCUGAAGCACAACCUGCUGGGCGUGAUGGACGAGGAGAAGAUCCGCCUGCGCGAGGAGGUGAACGAGCAGAUCCGCGCGCUCAGCGAGCUCAAGGAGAUGGGCGCCGCCUACGGCUUCGACCUGAGCCGCCCCGCCGCCAACUCGCGCGAGGCGGUGCAGUGGCUGUACUUCGGCUACCUGGGCGCCGUCAAGGAGCAGGACGGCGCCGCCAUGAGCCUGGGCCGCAUCGACGCCUUCCUGGACACCUACUUUGAGCGCGACCUCAAGGCCGGCACCAUCACUGAGGCCGAGGUGCAGGAGCUGAUCGACCACUUCGUCAUGAAGCUGCGCAUCGUGCGGUGAGCCCGGUUUGGGCGCUGGCAGGGCGGGGCUGUGGGUCAAGCAGCGGGUGCAUGGGGGCGCAUGCAGUGUUCCAGUGCAACGCCACUUCCAAGCCUUUCCUUACCGCACGUUUGUGCGCUCCUUGCCUUGCCUUCCGCCGCCCGCAGCCAGCUGCGCACGCCCGAGUACAACGCGCUGUUUGCCGGCGACCCCACCUGGGUCACCUGCGUGCUGGGCGGCACUGACGCCAGCGGCAAGGCCAUGGUCACCAAGACCAGCUUCCGCCUGCUCAACACCCUGU